GUAUUUAUUUCCCUAAUUUUAUAAACAUUUAAUAGGUCCUUAUUAAACACAUCAGCCAGCAUGAUUUAAUAACACAAUCAGUCUAGAAGUUUAAGAAAAUUGAAAACAGGAUUUGAAUGUAACGCAGCCACAAUUACUGGAGCUUAUAGGGAAUCAUUCCCAUAUGUCUCCAGUGGAGAGCUGCUAAUCUCUGUUUGCGUGGAGGUGAUUUCCUUUGGAACCCUGCCCAGCCUUCAACAGCACUAGGGCUGAACAAAUUAGAUUUGAAAGUCCCCAAUUUUAUGACUAAGGUAAUAUACUCUGUGUAUUUAGAGAAACACUAAGUUCCUAUUUUCACUGGCUCUCAAAUGCUGGACAGAGACCUUGAUUUCAUUUAGUUUGGCUCCACUUAGAAUAUGGUCAUAGGUCUGAAGGAGUCCGCAUAUGUUUUUGUGUGACUUUCAUAGAUAUUCUAACUCCUCUCCACCCACAAUGCUGAGGCGUUUGCAUCAUGGCUUGGUGACGACAGAUCUCAGGAAUGUGCUGCAAUUAGACCUGGAAGACAGCCGGCUUCUAAGGGCCUGGGGACUCCCACCUUCCUCUACUAAACUUUUGCGCCUCCAUCUCAUUCCCUGUCCUUGGCUCAUGGUACCCUCCAAGUGGCUUUUCUUAUGCUCAGAGAAUAGCAACCUGGGAAACUAGGCUGUGGUUUUCUCUUUCUUAGGGAGCUUCUGGAAGAGGUGAACUCUGCAAAGAGACAGAUUGUCUUGAUUCUGGGUAAAGCAGCAAGGACCAGUGGGCUGACGAUGGAAGUCCUGGGGAGUGCAAUAUUAGGAACAAACCCGGAAGCCACAUUUCUAUUCAUAUUAGCUUGAAAUUGGGCUGGAUGGUCUCCCCCUUGAUGUUCCCCUCCCAUCCUGCCUCCUGUUUUUAUAGAAUGAGUGAAAUAUAAUAACAAUGACUCCCAAUUCCUGAGCACUUACUAUAUGCUAGCACAUUAUGAUAUGGCCAGCUUUAAGCUUCACAAUAACUGAAUAAGAUCAGUAUUAUCAACCACACCUUACAGAGAAAGAAACUGAGAUUCUGUUGACUUUGGAAGCUUCCUGUGGUCUCAGCAAAGCAAAGAUUCAAACCCAGAGGGCAUUGAUUUAGAACUUCCUCUUCUUUCUUUCUUUCUUUCUUUCUUUCUUUCUUUCUUUCUUUCUUUCUUUCUUUCUUUCUUUCUGUCUCUCUCUCUCUCUCUCUCUCUCUCUCUCUCUCUCUUCUCUUUCUUUCUUUCUUUCAUGAUACUUUAUGUUCCGGGGUACAUUUGCAGAACGUGCAGGUUUGUUAGACAGGUACACACAUGCCAUGGUGGUUUGCUGCACCCAUCACCCUGUCAUCUACAUUAGGUAUUUCUCCUAAUGCUAUCGUUCCCCUAGCCCCUCACUUCCCCCGCAGGCCCAAGUGUGUGAUGCUCCCCUCCCUGCGUCCGUGUGUUCUCAUUGUUCAACUCCCACUUGUGAGUGAGGACAUGCGGUGUUUGGUUUUCUGUUCCUGUGUCAAUUUGCUGAGAAUGAUGGUUUCCAGCUUUAUCCAUGUCCCUGCAAAGGACAUAAACUCAUCCUUUUUAUGGUUUCACGGUAUUCCAUGGUGUAUAUAUGCCACAUUUUCUUUAUCCAGUCUAUCAUUGAUGGGCAUUUGGGUUGGUUCCAAGUCUUUGCUAUUGUGAACAGUGCUGGAAUAAACGUACGUGUGCAUGUGUCUUUAUAGUAGAAUGAGAUACAAUCCUAUUCUUAAUUGCUAUUUUGAGUCUGUUGCUUCCAACAAUGGUAAAGAUAAUGAGAGGACAACAAUGCCUUAUGUGUGCAUGAAAAGGAAGUGUACCUUUUCCUAGACAGCUUUCCACUCAAUUCAAGAUUCUAGUUUGUUUCCUCCUGGCAACUUCCCUUUACAAUGUGCUUUUGGCUUUUGAAGACCUAGAAGCAACAAGAGGAGGAAAAGGUAAAUGGCUAGAGGAAGAACUCUGGGUAACGCUUAAGAGAAAUGUUGAGCAGCCUGCAGAGAAGGAAAGAAAAUGCGAUUUCACAGUUCUUGAGUUAAAACUUAUUUAGGAUUUACCAUAUGCCAGGCACUAUUCUAAGCACCUUUCUUCUAUUUCCCUUCAUUUUAAUCCUCCCAACAAUCCUGUGAGGUAGUUCUAUCUCAGAGUAAUCCUAUUUUACCCACAUUAAGUAACUUGUUCAAAGUGACCCAGCUAGUAAAUGGCACACCGGGAUUUACACCCAGGCAUUCUGGGUCUAGUGCCAACCCUCACCACGGUGCUAAGACAUUGUGUAUCAACUAGUCCUUCAUUCGGUGAAAUGCAAGGAGGGAACUCAUGUUGCUUUUAGGUUGGUUUUUGCUUGCUGAACCAUAUAUAUUUGACCUCCUUUGAGCCCCUUGCCUGAAGCCCUCAGGUUUUUCUAAGCAGGUGGGAUUGAAACCCUUAAGUUAUCGAGUUGACUUCACAACCUAGGACCACAUCCUCCUCCCCACCGCAUGCAUGCCACCUCAAUCAUAUGUGUUCAACUCAGUCACAAGCAUCUUCAUUAACAUUUAUUAAGAUUAUAUGUGCUGAGCUUUAAAAUAAAAUGGAACCACUUUGAAACUUUUAGGCAAACAAGAACACCAGAAACCUACAUUCACCCUCCAUUCUAGCCAGGGAUUUGAGGCUCCCCUAAUGGCAGAAUGUUUGAACUCCCAGCCAAUCACUAGUUUUUUUAGUCAGUGCAAAUAGACUUUUCUUUUUUUCAUUUCUUUAAUCUAGAGCAAUCAUUGCUCAACUCUAGCAUGUGUAAGAAUUGCUGUAGAUCACUGAAUGCGCUAAACAAAAGGGUAUCUUCUGAACAUGACGGGCAAGGAGGACUCCGCCUCCCCUGCAGAUGCCAGGUGAGAGCACUGGGUGAGUUGACUCAGUGACCCACAAUGCUUUUUCGGAAGCGGAGGUGACAUUUCCAGCCAAAACACUGCAUUGUACAGUUAGUUAGUCUUCUUUGAAUGUAUUUCUUUGUGUGUGUGUGUGGAGUGGCUUUUUUUUGAGGCUUUUGAAGUGCCUCAACCACCUCCUUCCCCAGUUACAACCAACUCUGGGAGGUCACCAGUCCAGGUCCUUGCCCCAGAAGGCAUGUGAAAGUAAAUUAAAAUGGAGCCCAGGCCUGAAGAAUCCCUGAGCAGACCAAGCCAGGUAGGCCUCAUCAGUGAGUUUAAACCUCCUCGAUUUGCAAACAUGAGCAGAAAUGAACUUGAGCUAUUUUUCUUGUAAAUGUCUAUAUUAAAGAAAAACAGCACGUAAACUCAACCAAUCAGAAGCAGCCAAAACACUUAUAAUUAUGUAACUAGGGGCCUUCCAGCUAUAUAGAUCAAAUAAAGCAGCUGUAUUACUAUAACCAAUCAAAUAUUUGUUUUGCUUUACUUGCACAUUUAUCCUAUAAAAACUUCCCUCUUGGGAGGCUGAGGUGGGUGAAUCACCUGAGGUCAAGAGUUUGAGACCCACCUAGCUAACAUGGUGAAACCCCGUUACUAGUAAAAAUACAAAAAAUUAGCCGGGUGUGGUGGCACACACCUGUAAUUCCAACAACUCAGGAUGCUGAAGCAGGAGGGUCACUUGAACCCAGAAGGUGGAGGUUGCAGUGAGCCGAGAUUACGCCAUUGCACUCCAGCUUGGGCAACAAGAACAAAACUCCAUCUCAAAAAACAAAAAACAAAAAAAACCCUCUCUCUUGGAGCUUCUGAGCCGCUUCCAAUUUGGAACUAGUAGAUUCAUGAUUCAUUGUUUGCACAGCUCAACUCUUUCAAAAUGUAUUGUGCCUCAGUUUAUCUUUUUAACAGGUGUCAUAUUUAUAGCUCCAUUUCGUUGAUGAUGACUGUAGACUAGAAAGAGCCUCAUCUGAGGUCAAAAUGUGCUGGACUCUAAAAAGAGCCUCAAAACUGCCCUGAAAUCCAGUUGUUUCACUUAGCCUCGCAUCUUUUAUCAUCAUCCAACUUUAACCAUGAAAGGGUCAAAUGGCUUCUAGAGGCCAUUGAACACAGCAGCCUGAUGAUGUAACAACCUUUUAAAAGAAAUACAAAUAAGCUCAGCUGAAAUGUCUACAAAGUAUCCAACUAAAUGAAUAGCAGAUAGGAUUUUCUGCUUCUAAAAGACAAUGCCUUCUAGAAUAUCAUCACAUUCCAUCACUCAAUAUUUUAUUUAAUCAAAGUUUAUCAGUGCAGACUUUCUGCCAGAUCCUCAGGGUGAAUUCUAAUUACACAGUGUAAUGGGUAUUUACAGAGCAUGACCUUUCUAGAGACUGCCUGCCUGGCUUUGUAUCCUUGCCCAGCAAACCACCAGCUUUGUGUCCGUGCACGUUUACUUCAUCUCUCUGUGCAUCAGAUUUCCCAUCUCUAAAAUGGGAACAAUGAUGGAAUCCACCUCAUUUAAUCCAUGCAAAGUACUUAGAACAGUGCCUGGCACACGUGACUGGUUUAAUGAAUACUAUCUCCUAUAGUAUCAAAGGGGAAAAUGCCUCAGUCAAGAUGAGAGUCAUUGAACAAGAUACGAGUUUGUCUUCAAAAUAGAUAAAAUCAAUUCAGUGGUAUGCAGUGGACCAAGGAUGGAGUUUUAGAGUUAGACGAACUUGAGUUUGCAAGUCAUCUAUGUAACGUCUAGAGACUUAAUGAAUGGCAACUAAAUGAGGCAGCAUGAUAGUCGGAUGUGUGAACUUCAGAGCCAGUCCCGGAUUCCAACCCUCUGCCACUUAAUACCUAUGUGUUUAUGGAAAAGACAUUUACACUUUCUGUACCUCAGUUUCCUCCUCUGAAAUAAUGGAACAAUAAAGCCUAUGGGAGUUGUAGUGAGGGUUAAAUGAGAUGUGUGUAUAGUUCCUGAUAGGUAAUCAAUACUCAGUAAAUUGUAGCAAUCCUGCUAUCAGUCUCUUCCAAAUCACCUAGGUAGUGGCUACCUCCAAAGUCAGAUCUCAUGAGAAAGACAAUUUUAUUAAGUGUUCUAAAAUACAUGUAACAUAAAAUGUGCUACCUUAGCCAUUUUUAUGUGUACAGUUCAGUGGUGUUAAGUCAUUCCCAUUAUUGUGCAGGCCAUGCAACCAUCCACCUUUAGAACUUUUCAUCUUGGAGAACUGAGACUUCUACCCAUUAAACAAUAGUACCCCAUGGCCCUUCCUCCAGCCACUGAAAAAGACACCAUUCCAUUUUCUAUCUUUAUAAAUGUGUCUACUCUAGGUAACCUAUAUAAGUAGACUCAUACAAUAUCUGGGUUUUUGUGACUUAAUUUCACAUAGCAUAAUAUCCUCAAAGUUCAUCCAUGUUGUAGCAUGCAUCAGAAUUUCUUUCCUUCCUAAGGCUGAGUAACAUUUUGCUGUGUGUCUAUAUCACAUCUUGUUUAUCCAUUCUUCUGUCAGUGUAUACUUGGGUUGCUUUCGUGUUUUAGCUACUGUGAGUAGUGCUGUCAUAAAGAUGGAUAUGUAAAUAUCUGUUCAAGACUCUUACAUCAAUUAUUUUGGGUAUAUACCCAGAAGUGGAAUUUCUGGACCAUGUGGUAGCUCCACUUUUCAUUUCUUGAGGACCUACCAUACUGUUUUCCACAGCAGCUGCACCGUUUUGCAAUUCCACUAACAGAGCAGGGGCCAAUCUCUCUGUAUCUUUGCAAACCCUUGUUAUUAUCUGGAGUUUUUUGGUAGUAGCAUCCUUAAGGGUGUGAGCUAAUGUCUCCUUAUAGUUUUAAUUUGCAUUUCUCAAAUGAUUAAUGAUGUUAAGUAUUUUUGUGUGUGCUUAGUGGUCAUUCAUAAACCUUCUUUGGAGAAAUGUCUAUUCAAGUCCUUUGCCCAAUGUUUACUUAGGUUGUUUCUUCUUGCUGUUGUUGAGUUGUAGAAAAAGACAUUUUUAAAAGAUAUUUCAGAGACUUAUUUUGUGAAAAAAAAAUUUUUUCUUUAUUCCUCAGAAAAAUAAAGGGAAUAUUCUUAAUGGAGAGAAAAAUGGGCACUAUAAGGUUAUCUUGUGAUAAGGUACAUAUUUUCCUAGGAAUGGUUUAUACAGAGGCCUCAGGUAAGGGAGCGCAGGGAAGGCCUGCGCCUCUUUCAGUGUAGCUCCAGCCCCAGCUCCAGCACCCUCAGCCUGUAGGGCAGACAAGAGCACUUCUACCUCUUGGGACCUGGCAUCUUAGAGUGUCCACUCAGGCCCCAUUAAAAGUGGUCACCACAAAGUAAAAACAGCCAGUGUCUGUUAAUUUUUGUGCUGCUCUAAUAAAAUACAACAGACAGGGUAAGUUAUACACAAUAGAAAUUUAUUCCUCACGGUGCUGGAGGCUAUGAAGUCCAAGAACAAGGACCUGGCAAGUCAUGUCUGGUGGGGGCUGCCCUCGGCUUCAAAAUGGCACCUCGGAUGUUGUGUCUUCACGUGGCAGAAAGAGGAAGGACAGAAAGGGCCUGGGCUAGUUUCCUAAUCCAUUCGUAAGGGCAGAGCCCUCAAGACUUAUUAGUCACUUCCCUAAAGGCCUUACUUCUUAAGGGAGAUUAAGUUUCAAUAAGAAUUUUGGAGAGGACACACUCAAACCAUAGCAGCGAUUCUCAGAAGGAGACAAAUACUGCAUGAUCCCACCUAUAUAUCUAAAAUAGUCAAACUCAUAGGAACAGAGAGAAGAAUGGUGGUUGCCAGGGGCUGGAGGAGAGGGCAAUGUACAGUUGCUGUUCAAUAGUUACAAGGUUCCAGCCAUGCAAGAUGAAUACCUUCCGGAGAUCUGCUGUACAGCAUUGUCCCUACAGUUAACAACACUACGUUGCGCACUUAAAACCGUAUUCAGAGGGUAGAUCUCAUGUGAAGCAUCCUCACCAUUAUAGUCAUAACGAUAACAUGGUCACCACUGGGGUUCUGGCACCUGGAAUGGCAGCUGGCUUCUGGGUGACUUCAAUGGAAAAGCAUGUUUCAUGGGUGACUGCACUGCUUUCUGAGCCUCCUUCCCCAGGUCACAUCCUCUCUACGGCUUGAAGCACUGAUACUCCACAUGACAUCCUAUCACCUGAGAGAGUGAGCCCUGACACCCUCCCGUCUGAGUGCCCCCCGAUCACUCCUCAGUGAAGACUGAGCUGCAUCUCUAAAUGCAACACUAAAAUCCUGCUUUGCCUGCCCGGUUCAACUCUGAGUAAGGUCAGGAGAAGCAGAAGACAGUUUUUACUAGAACCUGAAAACCUUAGUUCCUUGCGUGCUCUUGCGGCCUGUACUGGGGUUCCAAAACCCAACGCCUCCCUGGCACCAUCUCCUGCCUCCAUCCUUGGGGAACGCCGGAUCUUCCUACUCUGCCUUACCAAUGGGGUAACAUUGAAUUCCCUGCCUUUGGCUUUUUUCACUUAACAUUAUUUAAUUCUACUUUUACUCACAGCCUUCAGCCCUUAAUUCAAUAUCUAUUUACUCAACCACAGGCUGGGUGAACUUGAUAGGAAACAGAAAGGAAGGCCAGAAUGUGAAGGGAUGUGAUGGAUAAAAACCAAUGGAUACCUUUGGUCCCCUUGAUGAGGAUGUGAGGCUGGGGGCCAUCAAAUGUUUAUCAGGAACCUGUGCAAAUAACAUUCCUGUGGUAAUUCCUCCUAAUAUGCAGUGAACUGAUAAUGUUUCAGGCAUUUUAUUUUUAUAUCUGCUCUAAUAACUAAAAACAAUUUUAAAAAGCAAAAUAUCAAGGCCGAAAUAUUUCAAAGAGGUAUUUUUCUUUCACCUCUAGCUUGAAAGUAAAUUGUUACUUUCUAAGCAAGCAAACAAAGGGGCUUUUAUGCAUAUCUGAUUAGCUCAUUUCCUUUGAUUUUGGCGAGUGAUGUCAUUUAGGCCCAGCUGUUGGUAUGCUGCAAAUGAUUUCCCUUCCUCGUGUUUCAGCGACUCAUUUCUGCCCCUAAUGCAAUUAGUUUGACUAGAACCCAGCAUUUUUCAUGGUUCACCUCUCCUAUCAGCUGAUACCCAGAACUCCUCUGGAAAGAACGAGGAAAGGCCACAAAGGCAUUUAAAUGCCUAGCAAGCAAUAAUUUCACCUAGACGCUAAUCAAGCAGUUGUCUUUUUGAGGUCUCUUUCCAACGCCUUAGCUCCUCAAUUCAUCCAGUAAAAUAACAGUCAGAGUCUGAGGUAGUUGAAAGAGUCUAACUUAAAGGGCCCUGGGUUUUGGGGAACAUGUCUGGCUUGCCCCAUUCUGUCCCAUUUGCUUACAGCAAAGCUGAUAUAUUAAUGCAACAGGGAAGGUAGCAGAGCCCUAGAAAGAACAAGUUGGCACAAAGGAGUGGUCCCUUUCAGUUCUCCAGACUCAAGUCCACAUUUGAAUGCCACACCCUGCUAGCAAAGUGUCUGGGCAUCUCUAUACCCCAGUUUCCUACUAGUGAAAAGAAGCUACUAAAAGUAAGCACAGAUAGUGGGAGAGGCUGUGAGUAUGUGGGAAUCAGGGCUAUAUGAGAAAACUGUGUACAUUUGCUCAGUUUUUCUGUGAACCGAAAGGUUCUCCAAAAAAUAAAAUAAUCUACCUUUAAAAAUAAAGCAACAGAAGGACAGAGGGUUGCUGUGAAAACAAGCCCUCAAGGUGCUUAGAACCCUGCAUAGAAGUCAUUAUGACGUGCUGCUUCUAAACUGGUUAUUAGGUGUUGGCUCAGGGAGUUCUCUGCUAGGUCAGCGCUUUUCAGCCUUGACAUUUGGGCCAUUUAAUUUUCUUGGGAAUGGGGAUGUCUUGUGAACUGUAGGAUGCUCAGCAGUAUCCUAGCAUCCCUGGUCUCUCUACUCACUGGAUGCCAGGAGCAACUCCAACACCCUCCCAACCAGUAGUGAAAACUAAAGAUAUCUCCAGACGUUGCCAGAUGUCUCCUGAGGGGUACAAUUGCCCUUGGUUGACAAUCGCUGUGCUAGGUUAAAAGAAAAACAAUAACCAGUGCACUCAAUGGCUCUACUGAAUAGAAACACUUCAUGGUCUAGGUGAUGCUGAUACUUCUAACUUUGAGAUCUUACUGGAAGAGCCUGCCAGAGAGUGGUUAAAACCCGGAAGAGCCUGGAAGAGCCCGGACUUCAGAACUGGAAAACGCUGAGUUUGAGCUCCUGUUUCACCACCUUAGGGGAGUGAUUCAACUUUGGUCAUGAUCGAAACAUUUUCUGAUUGAAUAAAUGGGAGAACACUGAAGUGAUAGAUCUCUAUGAGAAACAACCUUUUGAUAAGUCAAAAUCUAAUGUGACACUGAUCCUAAACACUGACUCAGCUCUCAUCCCCAUUGAAUCCUUUGAAAAUAAAAUACGUCGUGUUUCCUAAAGUAGCAUCCUUCUUUGAUCCACCAUGCUGGGGCAUGUUUUUCCACUGAGGACAUUGCCAUAGAUAGAGCGACAGAGAUGCAACAUAUCAUGUGGCCCGCAGAGGUGAAAAUGAUUUGUGUUUAAGGAUGUUGCUGCCUACUUCCAUUACUUUAAGGUCCCAAGGCUAAUGGAAGCAAUUUGUAUACCAACCCAAACUGACUGGCCCACUUUUCAAAAUACAGAGAUGGAAGUCUCGCUCUGUCACCAAAGCUGGAAAGCAGUGAUGUGAUCUCGGCUCACUGCAACCUCUGCCUCCCGGGUUCUAGCAAUUCUCCUGCUUCAGCCUCCUGAAUAGCUGGGAUUACAGGUUUGGCUGGUAUUUUCUAGAAGAUGUGCAGUGAGAGGUCACUGAGAGAAGUGGAGCACCUCUUCAUGAACAGACCCCUUUCUUGCCCUGCAGGGCGACACUCUUUCUAACAUGAGAAGUAGGUGAACUUCCAAUAAUUAGGAAAAACUGCUCUCUAAUUGUAAUGAAGUUGAUGAGAAAACCUGCCCCUGUUAUUGUGUGUGAUGUGCUCUGAACAGGAUGCCCUUCCAGGAGUCUUAGAGACCCAAAUUUGAUCCAAGUUGAAAACUAAAAUUAUUAAAUCCCUCGAUCAAACAGAAGUUUAAUGUACACAAUUUUUUUUUUUUGACGUUUCAAUCUUUUUCAUUCUGGGCAUUUUUUUAUUUGAAUCAUUUAUGAUUAGGUUUCAAAGCCAAAUUUUCUCCUUUAAAUGAGAAGAGAAGAAUGAUUUCCACUGUGUAAUGGAUGAUGGCGUUUAAAUACUGGAGACCAACAUAUUCUGUCUUUCUUAACAUUUAAGCAUACAUCCAUAAUUCUCUUUCCUACUGUCAUGGUUUCUGAUGUAACAAGAGUAAUAUUACUUCUAUAAUUGUGCUUCAGAUUUCUUCCCAAAGAGUUUUGACAUUAGCUGUUAUCGAGGGGGUAAAAUCACCCAGCCUGUCUGAUAACCAUGUUGCCUUAUAUCCCCACCCCAGCAAGUGCUGUGACACUGUACUUUUAUCAUCCAGUGUGUGUUCAGAAUGAGCUUAGAACAGCAAUUGCCGGGAAUAGGCAGGCGAUAAACCGCAUUGAUUUAACACAUCUUGUUUUCAAUCAUGCUUGGAUUUUCUGAGCACGCAUUUUUCCUGUACUCUGGCUUGUAGCUUUUAUCUGACGAGCUGAUCCCUUUUCACUGGAAAAUGAAAAGGUCGCACAAUAAGACACGGUUUACUGGAACUUGAACACGCACCAGGGAAAGUAUUUUAGAUAAAUACUGUCAGACAUAGUGGAGCUGAAUUUCAACAACACAAUUGCUAAACAACAAUACUUAUUACUCUCCUAGAACAAGCCUACCAGCGACUUAUGGCUCUCAGCAGGGGACAGCACCGAGUCAGGCUCCAAGGCAAAGAAACGCUUCUCUGAGCCUUACGCUAACCAAACGCGGAGUUCUGGGCUCAAGUCCCACUUGUGAUUGUUAAUAUCAUGGUUUUAUGAGACAACUCAGAAAAUGACUCCCACUGUUCACAGAGUCAUUUCCUCCAAACCAGUGGACAGGUUUCAGGAGACUUGUAAUGAAGUUACAACAGAGCUCUGCAGACGGUCAGAUUGGGAAGGAAAAAACAAAUCUCAAGAAUAGUGAUAAAAAAGUGACGCCAAAUCAUCCAUUAAUUCCACUAAUAAGACAGGAAAGUACUUGUAACUGGAAGACCUCAGAAGAUUAAGUAAUUAUUUGGUAACAUUUUAAUGGAAUUAAAGAGAACUUCUAACAAGUACGCCAAGUGGACAGCUACAGUGGCCUUACUGAUAAGCCUGCAAGUUUUUAUCAGCCAAAAUUCCAACUUAAAUAGCAUCUUGAUUUAAAAAUAAAUGAAGUCAGCCUUCUUCAGUAUUGACCCAAGCUAAGUGAUUAUUUUUGCUGAGCAUCUUGAUCCUAAGAAGUCUCCUCCCCCUAUUAUAGUCUAGAACCAUUUUCUUUUAACGCACAUUUUGCUUACACAUUUAUUCAUUGUCUGUUUCAGGGCUCCUCAAACUGUCUCUGUUCACAGUACCCUGAAUAUCUCAGCAAUCCCUUCAGAGCAUCCCUAAGCCAAAAGAAAUGCCCAGCAGUUCUGUUUAUUAGCUACUCAGUUGCAAACAGCUUAACCUUUAUGUUCCAGCAACUCAGUAGGACAUAAAUAUUUGAAAAAAACAAUAUAAAGAAAUUGACAGAAAAAUAUAACAUUUUAUUUCAUUUAAAAAUAACCACAAUUUGCUAAUGAAAUGUGUGUUCCUGUUGGGCACCAUACAACUUUGCAUACCUCGGAAUCAGACUGAACACUGCCACCCUCGUUUUCUAUUCCAUUUUGGUUUUCACAUGGCACUUCCUUUUAACCACAGUAACUGCUGAAGACCAGCUUUGCAGAGGUAUCACACCAUCAAAAGGAUGGGACAGUGGAUCACGCCUAUAAUCUUAGCACAUUAGGAGGCUGAGGGAGGAGGAUAGCUGCAGCCCAGGAGUUGGAAAGCAGCCCGGUCAAUAGAGUGAAACCCUGUGUCUACAAAAGAUUAAAAAAUCUGCCAAGUAUGGUGGUGCACAACUGUGGUACCAGCUACUUGGGAGGCUGAAGUGAGUGGGAGAAUAGCGCGGAGGAUGAAACCACAGUGAGCCAUGAUUUCACCACUGCACUCCAUGGGUGACAGAGCAAGACCCUGUCUAAAAAAAAAAAAAAAAAAAAAAGAUACAGUAUAAUGUAAUAUUGAAUUUGGAACUACCUUAAACUAGCAGUUUACACAGUAUCUGAUGUACUUAAAGUAUCACUGUUUCCCUCAAGUUUAAAAUAUCUCAUAGCAUCCCAAGGAGCUUGUAGGGACACCUUAGUCGAUGUUUAGAAAACAUGGAUUCACUCAGAAGCGUCAAAUUAAUCAAAUGCUAAGUGCUACAAUGAAUUCCAUUCAUUCAUGUGUAUCUUUUCCUCUUUUAAUAAUUACAACAGCAGCAGCAGCAGCAACUCACACUUCCUAAGGACUUACUGUGUGCCAAGCACUUUAUAUGAACUAACCUAUCCUUCACAACAACUCUACAAGGAGGUGCUAUCUUUAUUCCCAUUAGACAGAGAAGAAAACUGAGGCUUGGGGACUUAAUACUUUGCCUAAAUCCACAGAGCUAAUGAAUGAAGGGGCUGGCAUUCAAACCCAGGCAGUCUGCCUUGAGAGCCCUACUCUGAAUAGAUUAGCUCUAAUAGAUUAGAGCAGCCAAGUUAGGCCACCAAGGGGUCUUCAGAGCAGAUCUCUAAUAAUUUUGGCUUCCAGGACUUUUCUGACGCUACUUUUGCUCUUCAUAUAACCUUUUAUCUACAAUCUGUCUUAGUCCAUUCCUUUGUCUCAAUUUAUAUUCCAUGAAAACACUCCAGACCGCGUUUGACUUCCAUUUUCCUAAUAACCACUCUUCUUCCCUUUGUCCCAAUCCUUUUGGAGUAAGACUCGGCUAGAUUGCAGCCAGGCUACAUCAUUGAUUGGAUAUAUGUGCCUUUUGGAAAAGUCACUUUCAUUCUUUAAGUCUUCCUCAACUGUAAAGUGAAGAUUUAAUGUGCUGUUAUUUGUACAGUGAUUAGCACAUAAAUACUCAACAGGCAGUUGUUAUUACUAUUAAUAGUAUACAAGCCAUGUGCUGGAAACAGGGGCAGGUGCAGUGAAUACAAGACUAAUUAGACAUAUUUACAUAUUUCCCACUCUCAAGGAACACAAGUCUAGAGGGGCAGAAAGACACAAACAGAAUUCUGAAACAGUGUGGCAAAUACAACAGCAGGAAGACUCGGGAUUCUAGAACAUCGGGUGUGUUUCACUUGUCCCUGGGGGUCAACCUUCUCCCUCUCCUUUACACUAACUGGGAAUUACAAUUCAAACAAUUCUACCACCUCUGGUUCUCAAAUAUUACCCUGAAAUUGAGCUCUAUCUGGAAUAGGACACAACCAUUUUAAGUUCUGUGAACAUAGAGGGGGGAAAAACAGGUAGGAGAUACCUAAUUAAGACUGGAUUCAUUUCCAGACUUGAGAUGUUUUGUACUGUUUAAUUAACUAAAUAAAACUGCAGGCUUGCUGUAUACAAGGCCCUGUGCUUAAGAAGGUGAAAAGAAAAAGAUGUACAACACCCAAGUCCAGUGCCCUGUGCAUCCCCAGCUGGAAAUGAUUCCAUCCAAAAAACUCUUCUAGGCACUGUGCCAUACCCUUGAGGAGAACAUAAUCCAGUGGGGAGACAGGCCUGCAAUUGGCUACCCCAAAAGAUACAGAACGGUAGCAUUAUUAAUGUACAAUAGCACUGCACAAAAGGAGGAAAAACUAAUUGCUGUAAUCGAGUCAGGGAAAUUUUUAGCUCAAAUAUCUGAGUUGGGUGUGGAAAGAUAAAUAGGAUUUUUCUACUGAAAAGGACAGGAAAAGCAUUUCAGCCAAUGGGAGCAGAAGGAACAACGGGAAAGAGAUAUACAAAGGAUGUAUCCAAGUAGGGUUGAUGUUCCAGCUUGGGGAGAGCAUAGCUGAACAGGUUGAGAGUGCAGUGUUAAACGCUGACCAUGAGUAACAGUAUUGGCCUUGGUGCCCUGCUAAGAGCAGGUAGGCAACGAGGAGUCUUUUAAGAUUUUCCAGACCGUAGGAGCAGCAUGAUCUGAUCUACAUUUUAAAGAGCCAUAGAAGUAAAAUGAAGGUUGGCUCUUAAAGGCAGCAUUAUAGCAAUAAUCCAAAUGGAAAAUAAAAGACCAACUAAUGAUGGGGUGGUCAUGGAGGAAAAAGUAGAUUUCAGAGAUAUUGUAGAAUAAAAUCUACAUGACUUCAGUAAUAUGCCAGAUAUAAGAGGAUAGGAAGAAUGGGGGAUGGCUGACAUUUCUAAUUUAUCUGACUAAGUGGAAACAGUGGCCAUUUUGUGGAAAGAAAACUAUUUAUGGGAGGGAAAAUAAUCAUGAGUUCAAUUUCAGACAUGCUGGAAUUUAGGUGCCAGAAAAAAAACCAGGUAAAAUAUUUAGUAGACAGUUGAGAAUAAAGAACAAAAGUUCAGGCUGGGCACGGUGGCUCAUCCCUGUAAUCCCACCAUUUUGGGAGGCUAAGGCAGGUGGAUCACUUGAGGUCAGGAGUUCAAAACCAGUUUGGCUAACAUGGUGAAACCCAUCUCUACUAAAAAUAAAAAAAUUAACCGGGCAUAGUGGUGCAUGCUUAUAGUCCCAGCUACUUGGGAGGCUGAGGCAGGAGAAUCACUUGAACCUAGGAGGUGGAGGUAGCAAUGAGCAGAGAUCAUGCCACUGCACUCCAGCCUGGAUGACAGGAUGAGACAUCAUCCCAGGGGGGAAAAAAAAAAAAAAAAAAACAGAAGCUCAGGAAAAAGAUCAGUGAUGGAGUUAAUGCUAUGGGGAACAACAAGACACAGGUCAUAGCAAAAACCACAUGUGAAAAGAGGACCCAGGACAGACAAUGUGACGGGGACCACAAGCAGAUAAGCAAUGGUUACAGAAAGAUUGAGAGACAAGCCAAAUGCAGGUCACAAAGGUAGAGGGAAUACCAGGAGGGAAUAAUGUCACUGAACUCAAAUCAAACAAGGAACUCAAAAUAUAAGGGGCUGUCAACACCAUGUAGUGUAGUCAAGUAACCAACCAGGAGAGGUCUGAGGAGAGGCUGUAAAUGUAAGUAAAUUUGUAAAUUACUAUAUUUGGAAGUUGUAAAUGUUAUACUAAGAUCAUUAGCAUAAAUGGCAAGCAGUUUCAGAAAACGUGGGGGUGUUUUAACCCUAAAGCUCUGGUUUUCUUCAGUCUCACUCAAUAACUCCCAGUCAAAAGAUACGAACCUAAGUGAGUAAGUGGGGUUGGCAAACUUGUUUGCCCAGUUGUAGCUUAGCUUACCAUAAGAGCUAUACAAGAGAGCGUAAAUGACACUCAGUCCCAGUCCUAAAGAAAAGUGUAGAACUUCAGAUGCCCCGAGAGAAAAGCUAUGACAUUCACGUGACACAACUAUGAUGAUGAACCUCGAGUCGACUUUUAGAUUUGGUUAAUUCCCGUUAGUAUAUUUAGAGGAGUGAAGAUGAGGGGAUUUCCAUGGCUCUUGAUGUUUUCUGCUCCCACUUUUGAUGCCUGUCUUUUAAGAAGUGGACGGAACUAAGUAAAUGACUUAUGGUACCCAAUGAAGUUCUACUUCUUCUACCCUGGAUUUGGACUUAUGAUCUGUCUCCUUUCCACAAAAUAUUGACAAAACACAAUGUAUAUGUAACUAGAAUUUAAUCUUCCCCUUUGGAUGUUGGUGGUCUUAAUAUUGAUCCCCAGCGUCUUAUAAUCAAUAGAUGUUUAGUUAAGCAGUUCACUUGUUUUGGAGUAACAGUUAUAGUGUGGGCAAUGGGUAUGUGGCCACUUCCGCAAUAACCCCAGGUCUCCUGACAGAGUGAACGUUACAAUCACAUAUUUGUUGCUAUUAGCUCAUAAGAUGGUGGAAACCAAUUUUGAAAAGCAAGUAAUAAAGCACCACAUAAAAAAUAAUGGUGUAAUUACUUCUUGGUCAGGUAAUACCUACUGUGAUAUAAAAACCAAAGGGAGCACCAAGCGUCGUAAGCGGGUUUGCUGUAAAUCUGACACUGGUUCUGACCUUCAGCAAGGAAAAGCUCUGAACCCACCCAUCUAAGCCAGGUACACAGAAGACUCUUUGUGGCACGUGUCUUUACCAAGUCUCUGUGUAAAAGCAUUUUAAUGAAUUUAUUUCAUUAGUGCCUCUGUCAAUUCUCAGGAGCUGAAGAGACUGCUCCAGUUGCUACAUUACCGACCCAAAGGCUUUCAUAAUCUCAUUUGAAUUUAGGCCCCAAGGAAAGGGGUCUGUGAACUGCAUUAGGAAGUAAUUGUCAUGUGGAUAUAGUUCGUUGUCUAAAUGUAGAGGACAACGAAGGAGGGUGGGGGUUCUAAUGGAACAUGGACCACACUGUCCAGGAGAAAGUGGAGAUAAUGCUGGCUGUUGCUGUUGAUCACAAGCAAACACCGUGGUAAUCCACUAACCUAAGCAGAAGAAACCAAUUAGCCUCCACCUUCAGGCCCUGAUUCUUUUUUUCACAUUUCAUCCCAGGUGCUCGAGAGGCUUUCCUAAUUCACAUGGAUAAUGUGGGUGGGUGCAGGGAGUGAGAGAGAGAAUUAGCCAAAGUUAUUCCCUGAACUUUUAAGGAUAGGAUAGCACAGUCCAUAUUUAAGGACAUCAUGAUGAAGUUUUUAUUACUACUCCUCUGGCUUAUUUCCAGCUUGGGGGAAGACUCGUGGUUAAUAUUUCUGUUUAGCUUGUCUAAGCUGAAAAUGGUUCUCCUAAGGUACAUGCAUCAUUAGAAGCUUUCAUGACAGGAUGCUAUUAGAGCACAGCAUUUGUCACAGCACAGGAUGAAGCAAAAGUAGGGUAGCUUUCACUAAUAAAAGUGACAAAACGUUAAAUUCUCAAUGGCAGCAACUUGAAUGGAGACAUGAGAAUUCUUAUACCCUGAUGGUUGGUUAGAAUUGGGUACAAGCUUUCUGGAAAGCAAAUUGGCUAUUUUAGAUGGGGAGGAUGAAAUACUUUUAAGCUUACAGACUGAAGCUUUAUUAAAUUCAGAGGCAUCUCCAAAAGUAGGCCUAGUAGCCACAAAAACUAUUUUUCCAAGUGGGCAAAGGCCUUUGUAAAUGCCAUCUAGUGUUACAAGAAGCCUUGUUCUUGCUAAGAUUACUCUGGACCUCUUUUUCCUUCUAACUGGAAUUAGAGGCUUAAGUUUCCCAAACUGAAUCUUGCAUUUCUCUCUAUAUUGAUGGGUGCAAUGGUCCUGCUUAAAACCAACAAGGAAAAAAAAGUGACCCUCCUUCUACACUCUCUCUCUAAUCUUCCUGGUCCUAUUGAAGCCUGGUGAAUUUAGAGGAAAUAAAAAUAGUAUUUAGCUCCAUCUGUUGAAUUCACUUUGCCUGAGGCCAGCAUGUCAGAUAUUGUUGCUGGCUUUUUCAGAGGGCUGGGAUAUAUCUGCAGGGCAGGGAUCAGCUUGAUAAACUGCUGACUUAUUCUCAAAUGGAAAAUUUUUGUGAUUCUAUUGGGACAAUAGGUACUGUGACCCUAUAAGGGCAAAAUCAAACAUACUGGAUUGCAUUUUUCAAAAGCUACCAAAACAACUUUUAGAUACAAGUACAUUCUGCGAAGUCUCCCUUCUAACUCUAGAAUUAACAGGCUGAUCUUCAUGUGGUCAGGUGGAGAGGCAAAGGCACAUCUAUCCACUCAAUCCACUUCAGAACUUUAUUGCUUCAAAAAUCUUCCUUCAGCAAACACAACCAGGCUUGGAAAGCCUAAGUGAUCAGUACAAGAUCAACAACUAGUCAAAAGCUGAAUCACAACUAAAACUCAAACGUUGGACCUGAAGCCACCCCAGGUCCUCUGCACCAUUUCUUCAUGUAAGCCUGACUUAAAAUAAAUAGGAUCAUUUGUUAAGAAGUGGUUCUGAGCAUUUCACUUUUGCAAACUUAUUUUUUUUUCCUUCAGAUACCUCAAGAGGUAGAUGUCCCUAUUUCACGGAUGAGAAAAUUGUGGCUGCUGGUCUUGGGUGAAGGACUGGUAGCCAAAGAAAAGAAAUGUGAUUGAAUUAUACCUAUGGAAAAAGACAACAUCAAAUCUGUCAUUCAGACGACAUCUUCCUAUACAUGAUCUCCCUCCUAUUACUGCUGAUCAUUUCAAAGCCAUUUUGUAAAACAAACACCAACUAAAAGGAAGACAACAAAGUUCCUAAAAUCAACAUACUAUGAUUUUACCUACAUUCUUGUUACAGAAAUGAAAUAAGGAUAGUAGUUCAUAGUAACUGAUGUACAGUGACCAUGUGCCAGCGACUGUGCUAGCCACUAUAUUACAAAUCGAUUCUUAGCUGCCUCUGUGAAAUCUGUCCUGUUAUUUUAUAUUUUACAGGAGGAAGACCCUGAGGAUGACAGAGAGGUGACAGCUUACCCAAGUUUCACAUCAGUAAAAGCUGAACCAGGAUUCAAACUUGGGCAUGCUGUCACUAUUGUCCCCCCGACUCCUCUAGAAUGGACUGCCCCUGUGGAAGCAUUUAGCUAAUACAUUGGAAGCAAUGGUGUUAUCUUUCCCUUCAGGGCAAUGUAGAAAACAAAUAGUAAAAGACGCCUACAGCAAAAAUAUCUGUCUUCGACUUGAAAAACAUAAAUGUAUAUCCACAUAGGCUAUAUAAAGACUUAACAAGACAGAAGUUUUAAAAGGGAAACUUGCCAGAAUGGAUCGCGCUUAAGUACAAAACCAGUUUCUGCGAGGCGUGUAGUGGUGAUGUCACCAAAAAGAUGGGAAAUGACACUUCUCCAUUAUCAUCUUCCAGCUUGUUUAAUCUCACCUGGCAAGUUUUCCCUCAUCAAGUAGGUUGAAAAUGGUUAUGGAAUCCAGAGGCAGCUCCGGAUAACACGGGUGGGAUUCUGAUAUGCCUUCUUCAUUAACUGCUCAUACCCCAGAAAUGAGAAUAAAGCUGCUCCUCCUGGGGAGUCUUUUAACUGAAAAACUAAUCUUAACUGAAUGCACACAUCAGUUAACUAUCUUCAGAUUCACAAACCAUUAAUGCCCCAUUUUCACAGAGUGUCUUCUCUUCUUUCUGGCUUGUCUGAAGGCUGGCACUCUCAGGGCUGUGCUUAGAGGAAUGUGAGAUUCAGCAGGAAUAUGGAGGGGACAGGAGAGAAAAGAAGAGAGCUAUUAAGUGCUCAUCUUCACAACCAAACGACUGUUCUGGGGCUGAGCAGCAAGAGCAUCAAAUAAUGCUGCCCUUGCAUAAUCGACAUCCUCCCAUCGCCGCUCCGAGUCAGUGGCAAAGGAAUCACAAAUAAUGCCAUUCUGCCCUCUGAAUACCAGUUAAGCAGCCUUCAAAUAUGCCUACUGAGGGAAGACGAGGCUUGCAAAUAGAGCCUUGCAGAUGUAAAAGGAUGGUAAUGAUAAAAGGAGGGGAGAAGAAAACAAAUUGCAGAUUUCUCUCUUGAAAUACUUGGCCUGUUUGAAAGUUCCACUUUGUCUCUCCAGAGCAGAAAAACCUAAGCAGGAAUUUGAGAUGUGUCCCCAAAGCAAUCUUGUCGAGUUGUAACCCAUAGCAUGGCAAUUCCCUGUGCAAGAGGGCCAGAUUGACUGCCCUUCUAUGCCAGGAGAAGAAAGCUGCUUUAUUUUAUUUUUUUGAGAUGGAAUCUCACUCUGUCACCCAGGCUGCAGUGUAGUGGCACGACCUCCACUCACUGCAACCUCUGCUCUCUGGUUCAAGUGAUUCCCCUGCCUCAGCCUCCUGAGUAUCUGAGAUUACAGGUGUGCACCACCAUGCCUGGCUAAUUUUUGUAUAUUUAGUAGAAAUGGGGUUUUACCAUGUUGGUCAGGCUGUUCUCGAACUCCUGACCUUGUCAUCUGCCCACCUAGACCUCUCUAAGUGCUGAGAUUACAGGCAUGAGCCACUGCAUGCAGCCAAAGCAAGCUUCUUGUGGAAGCACAUACCUCUUCCUAUGUAGCCUCUUAAAGUCACAAGGGUACAAGAUUAUGUAUCUCUGCUGAUGAAGACAUCAUUUACAAUUGGACUUUGUGAAAGACAGAAACAUAUUUAAGUUCUUUCUGAAUUUGGAACUAGAUGGGUCCUAUCAAAAACAAUUUUCUAAUUGUCACUAAAAUAUAGGAAACCAUGAAGAAGAUCCACCUCCCCAAAUAUGAAAUGCCAUCUUUUUAGAUUUACUGCUUUUGGCUUGGAAAUAAACUCAGAAUCUAAUAGUGUUCCCCUUGGCCAAAAUUCUAAAACCAACAGUGACUAGAAUCCUAUAAACACAGAAAGAGAUUCCUAACUCACUAUAUUCCUGGCCUUGAAACUUUGCUGUGGAAAGCACCACCAAAUCAGGCCACUUGAGUCUAGGAUCACCCACACCACAGUGAAGUCAGCACUUGGUAGAAAACUGUGAAAGUGGGCUCUAGCAUACCUCUUAGCAAUGCCAUUAGUUGUGACAUAGUCAAUAAGCUCCCAUAGAGUUUAGGUUUUGGGAAAAACAGGUAUAGUGUUAUAUUACAUGAGGGAGAUAGAUACACAAUGAAUAACAGCAGUGAUGAGUUUCCUUUACAUAGCAGGAGUAUUUUCCUGGCUGUGGGAUUUAGCAUAUCAACAAAAGAGGUUGGCCAUGCCACUUCUCAGAGUUUCAUUAGCCUGCUAGAACAUUUAGAGGUCUGCGCAAGGUAAACUAACUCUCCCAUGUUUGUACUGAAGUGGAGGUACCAUAGACAGGUCCCAUUCUGAGUACUGAAUUAUCUUGUCUUAUGAUGACAUCAACACUGAAACGACAGAGAGCGUCUUUUGUAGUCAACAAUAUGGGACACUGGAUUUUUAUCUCCCUUUGGACAAUGAGAUUGUGGUUAGUACACUGGUGAAUCUAACAUCAAUGCUCUAUGAAAAAUUGUUUUAUGAAGGCUAGAGAGAGGAUGGAGAGGGAGGUACACCCAGUUAUAGAUACAUAAACACUGAAAGAGAAACUGAAAUCAAUUCUGCAAACAGUAGAAGUCAAAGCAUUGUAGUUGUCAUUAAGCAUCUACCAUUUUAAUAUUCAAAUAAGAUAUUUCCUGAAAUAUCAGAUCAAUUCUUAAAGGAGAGCUGCUCCCAGUGGGGUUUACUUGUGGUCCUCUGUCUGACAUCCAUUAGGCAGGCUCCUUGUCUUUAGCAGCAUGGGUUCAAACAAAUGAUAAGAGAGGAAAUAGAUUCCAUUCUCUCUGUUUACUUUAUUACUAUUGAUUUCUGAAUUCCCUCCGAUCUAUUUCCUAACUGAGCAGAUAAUAUACAUUUAGUACCAAAGGUAAUUAUCCAAAAUGAAUCUAGUUUGCAACGGGGUGAUAAAAAAUUGAGAAGACACUGAUAGAUUAAAUACUUAUCAUUAAAAAGUAGAGCUGAUUGUAUUAAUAUACAUACAAGAGCUUUAAUAUUCUCACUUUAUGGCUAGAUAUGAUUUUCUAGGCUAAUCAUGAGUUCAUGUGUACACUCGGACAGAUUUUAUGUCUACUCUAUAUUUUAUAGCAUUAUUUUAUAUUGCAAAUAAUAAAAGCAUUAUAGGAAAAAAUCAAUUCAAAAAAAAUUUUAAUCUACCUUUUGCAAAAAAAAAAAAAAAGAAUCAUUUGGGCAUUAAAAAAAAAAAUCUUCAAAAAGGGCUAGAACAUUUAGUUACCACAAAUUACAAUGGUUUUUAAAGCAUCAAAGUUAGAGAAAAGAACAAAGAUUGUGUUAUUAUGAAAGCAUGUAAAUAAAUACAGUAAAUCCACAUUGUGGGAGAUGAUGCAGCAUUUUAACAUUAUGUUUAUGAAGAAAUUUUAAUGCGUGGGAAAAUGCUUAUUAGGCUAUGUGAAAAAACAGGAUCUAAAACUGUGUAUGUGUAAACACACAAUAUAAGCACAAAUAUGAAGUAUAUGUUAAUAUCUAUUUGUUACAUAUAGAAAAAUAUAAAAGAAAUAUAUGAAAAUGUUUUUAGUGGUUACCUCUGGGUAAUGGGUAUUGGAUGAUUUUAACUCUUGAAAUUCUGUCCUAGUUUCUCUAAAUUUUCUAAAUCAGCACAUAUUAUUUUUAUAUCUAAGUAAGUAUUAGAGAGAUGGGUGAAUGAACCACUUGGAUUGAAUGGAGGGUAGGACACAAGUUUCAUUUGCCCCUGGCUCAUAAUGACCUGAGGGCCUUCACAUGCCAGGGACUCCUAUACUGAUGCCUCUUUGGAAAUGUGUCCACCUGCAGGCAGAGUAAGCUUGAAUUCUGCAGACUCCUACCAGAUAUGUUCAAGCAUCAUAUACUCAGGGAUCAUCACACUUUUAAAAGACAUAUGUAGUUAUCGAAAUAUUGAAGUACUGAGGAAAGAGUACAAUGGAGCACUUAAGAGAAUGAAUUCUGGAGUCAGAUCGUCUGGCUAGGCUCCUCCACCCACUAUUUGAGUAAUUCUGGCAAAUGACAUAAUCUAUGUGUCAGUUUCCUUACCUGUUCAACCAGGACAGUCAAGUGCCUUCCUUACAGAGAUGUUAGGGGAGUCAGUGGGCUUAACUAUUUGUAAAACACUUAGAAGACUGUGUUACACAAUGAGUACUUAUCCAUUACAUGAAUACAUUUAAAAAAUUCUGAUACACUGAUCAGAAUCAACUUACAAAUGAAUAAAUGGACAUGGUCAAGAUAUUUAGAAAACAUUUGAGCUUUUGUAAAUUCCUGAGGCAAGGUACAAUUUCUGUUCAGCUUAAGUCGAGACGCAAGAUUGUAGUGGUUUUAGAUGGUUUCUAUGUACUGCCAAAGAUCUGUCCAUCCAUACAUUUCUAUCCAGAAUGAUGUUGAUAAUGUUAAAUUUCAAUGGAAUAAUUACUAUGUACUAUAUGUAGGGUUUUGUUACCCACUCUAUAUUUAGAUUGUAAUAGAUGUGAAACUAAAUAGGUAUUCAAUAAAUGUUUACUGAAUGAAAGCACAAAUGAAUGACUUCACCACAGCUGCAUCGAGUUGUCUAAAUAUGAGCAUAUUUCCACAAAGGAUCCAUUGUUAAAUGAACUUUCCUUCUUAUUAAGAACUAGGAUUGAAGUAUCAAAUUUCCUAGAAUCUAAAACUUUUUACUGUUAUGACUUGGAAACAAUUGGAUGGCAAGAUUAAAAGGGGAAAAUUUAUUUAUUCCAAGAUUUAAAAAAAUCACAGCUUAGGACUUGAAUGUCUUCACGGAUCCAUUUCUUAAGAAAUCGAUAAGGAUGCAGAAAGCUUUACAAGAGAAGAUACCAAGACAGCAAUGGCAGUACCAAUAAACAGAAAUAGAUAGUUCCUCUCACUAGUUCUGUGGUUUUCUCCUACCCCGUAGAGCGUGACAAGAGAAUGUUAAAAUAACUGAAAUCAAGAACAAUACUGGAAUUAAGAAAAGUCUACAAUGGCAAAUUUUUACUGUAACAAAUUUCAUUACUGAGUGAGGGAGGAAAACAACUGUUUUUAGAUACUAUCCAUUGUUUUCUUUUUUUUUUUUUUUUUGAGACAGUUUUGCUCCUUACCCAGGCUGGAGUG
Callithrix jacchus (white-tufted-ear marmoset) is the source of this 23270-nucleotide non-coding RNA. The record is from RefSeq and is a predicted model, not a curated record. NCBI's taxonomy places the organism in Eukaryota, Metazoa, Chordata, Mammalia, Primates, Cebidae.